AAGCCCUGAGGUGGGUACUAACAUAUUGAAUUGCAAAUUCAAAGAAGCAGCUUCAACUCUGCCGGGGCUU
Molecule: transfer RNA, 70 nt
Filed under: Oryctolagus cuniculus (rabbit)
Lineage: Eukaryota; Metazoa; Chordata; Mammalia; Lagomorpha; Leporidae
Description: tRNA-Cys
Rfam family: tRNA
About the family: Transfer RNA (tRNA) molecules are approximately 80 nucleotides in length. Their secondary structure includes four short double-helical elements and three loops (D, anti-codon, and T loops).
Source: RNAcentral